Molecule: ribosomal RNA, 492 nt
Filed under: uncultured bacterium
Lineage: Bacteria
Description: bacterial SSU rRNA
Rfam family: Bacterial small subunit ribosomal RNA
Source: RNAcentral
AUUGAACGCUGGCGGCAGGCCUAACACAUGCAAGUCGAGCGGAAACGAUCCUAGCUUGCUAGGAGGCGUCGAGCGGCGGACGGGUGAGUAACGCGUGAGAAUCUACCCAUGAGUGGGGGACAACCCGGGGAAACUCGGGGCUAAUACCGCAUACGCCCUACGGGGUAAAGCAGGGGACCUUCGGGGCCUUGCGCUGAUGGAUGAGCUCGCGUCGGAUUAGCUUGUUGGUGAGGUAAAGGCUCACCAAGGCGACGAUCCGUAGCUGGUCUGAGAGGAUGAUCAGCCACACCGGGACUGAGACACGGCCCGGACUCCGUACGGGAGGCAGCAGGUGGGGAAUCUUGGACAAUGGGGGCAACCCUGAUCCAGCCAUGCCGCGUGUGUGAAGAAGGCCUUCGGGUUGUAAAGCACUUUCAGCAGGGAGGAAGGCUUACCCCUAAUACGGGUGAGUACUUGACGUUACCUGCAGAAGAAGCACCGGCUAAUUUCGUG